UGAGGAAUAUUGGGCAAUGCCCGCAAGGGUGACCCAGCAACGCCGCGUGGAGGAUGAAUGUCGUAAGAUUGUAAACUCCUGUUAGAGGGGAAGAAUAGUACCGGUUGGACCGGUAUAUGACUGUACCCUCAGAGAAAGCCCCGGCUAACUACGUGCCAGCAGCCGCGGUAAUACGUAGGGGGCAAGCGUUGUCCGGAUUUACUGGGUGUAAAGGGCGCGCAGGCGGGAUAAAAAGUCAGUGGUGAAAUCCUACAGCUUAACUGUAGAACUGCCUUUGAUACUUUUAUUCUUGGGUUCGGGAGAGAGAGACGGAAUUCCAGGUGUAGUGGUGAAAUACGUAGAUAUCUGGAAGAACACCAGUUGCGAAGGCGGUCUCUUGGUCCGACACUGACGCUGAGGCGCGAAAGCGUGGGGAGCAAACA
This 422-nucleotide ribosomal RNA is filed under the name uncultured bacterium. RNAcentral's name for it is "bacterial SSU rRNA". It matches the Rfam family "Bacterial small subunit ribosomal RNA", at positions 355 to 774 of the family's 1533-position model. The record is from RNAcentral.